GUCACCAGUGUUGUAGUGACAACCAGUGCCCUAGUUUCUCUCAGUCUGAGUCUGGAGGUUACAAGCUAAGACAUGUUUUCCCGUCUUCGCAAGCGUUUUGGGAGGGGGAAUGUCGAUUCUGGAGAGACUAGAGUGAAGGAGUCUGGCCUUUGUCUCAAAGUAAUGAUGGACAAAGACAGCACUUCUGGGGAUUGUUUAGUAAGUUCUGGGCAGUAUAUUUUGAGCUUCCUGUCAGGGUGGCUGCAGGCUUAAGGUGACCUUUCUAGCCAUGGGCCACAACAACUGGAGCAUCUGAAAAGGAAUUGAAUUUCCAUGAAUAUUACAAUUUCUUAAAAUCAAGGAUUUCAGAAUUUUAGUUUCCCAUCCCCACUGGGAGGAUAUGACGCUGGGAGAGAAACAUCAUCCCCUGGAACUGAGCUAAGCAAGAAGCAGGCCAAGAAGUAAAAUAAGAGGUGGAUUUAAGAGCUGCAGCUCAUUACAGAGGAGCGAAACGACCUGAGAGAUCGCCUGAUGUUUGUGACAGAGAGAUCCAUGAAGAACAGGUAUGAAUCGCUCCAAACGCUCUUGUUCCAUUCCUGGGUGUUCAAUGUCACCUUCAUCUUAUCCUUUUAAGGUUUUGGGUUCUAGAAAGCUGUGUCUCUGUAACGACCCCUUUUUAAACCUCACCUCCCAUAUAGAGGAGAUUCAGAACCUGACCCUUCCUGAGGAGCGAGAUGGAAAAUGGACUCAUCUGCUUCCAUUUAUUGAAAAGCAGAACUUGUGGUCUGAAUGAAGAAUUCGGGGAUAAAGUCAGGGAGAGUGAGUGUCUAGUGUGCAUUUGCAAAGCCCUUGACAGAUGGUGGCUUUGCAAGAUUGUAAUUGCAGUGAGUUUAUGGUGAGUCUCUGUACGUGCUAGGCAGGGGACUGAGUGCUGGAAGAUCCAGGCAGCAGCCUGAGGGGCCUGGUCCCAAACUGUUCAUCUCAAUGCUUGACUAGAAGGUCUCAGGCUCAGGCCUGUUUGUUAUUGUCUGUGUGUCUUGCCCUCUGAGACAGCAAUGGUGCAUGCAAUUUCUCCUGGUUGUCACAGUGCUGUCUGUUUCCAUAUUUCUCUUUCUCUUUCUCUGACUCUGUUUACAUUUCUCUUAUUUGUGGCUGUGUCUCAGUCUGUGUAUGUUCAUGUGCACACAUCCAAAUGCAUAUGUACAACAUUUAUAUGUUUAUAUUUCCCUCCAAAUUUGAGUCUACGGGUCUAUGUCUUGGCCUGAGUAUUUACCCAUGCUACACUUUCAUGGAGAUGUGAGUGCUUUGUUCUGGGAGCCCCACUGUCAACAGCACAAUUAUUUGACUGUGUGGUCACAUUUGUCUGUAAAGUUGUAUCCAUUGGGCAGAUUAUUAUUUUGUGGCCAGAUGUGAUCUCUACUCCAUAAUUAUGUGUAAUGCCUGUCUCUACACUAUUAGUUAUUCAGAAUGAAUAAUUCUUGUUGUCAAAGCAGGAAAAAUCAAAUCACAUUUUCUGGGUGUGUAGGGGAGUGCCCAGAAGAGCUGUGGCUGAGGCUUUUGAUAACAUAACUGUCUUGGCUCCAGGUCCAGUCUUCUGUAUUGAACAAUGGGAGCCAGGAAACCCUCCAUCUGGAUGCUGAGCUUCCGGUGUCCUGGCCCCAGAAUAACGUUUCUGAAGCUGAAGAAGAUCCCAAUAUAUAGAAUUCAGAAGGUGUCCUUCCAGGGCUGGGGUAGUACAGGACCCACCCUGAGUUCAUAUAUUCCUAAAUGCUGAUGUUCAUUGGAUUCUAUCAUUUGGGGCCAGGCCACACUUCAGGCCAAAUCCAUAUUAUGAAGACCUGGAGAGAAUGGAGGAGGCGGUCAUGUCAAUUCUGCACAACUUAGAGAUGGAGAACACUGAGAUCCAUGAGAACAGCCAUAAGCUGAAGAAGGAGAUUACCUUCUCUACGUAAGUCCUGGUCAGAAAGGCUAUCACCUGUGGAAUGGCCAUUUCUGAUUUCUUUGUUCUGGAUUGGACGGUCUUCAGCUAUGAGUCUAUCUCUUGUGCUGUUUACACAUCAGUGUGCCAGGGUCAUUAGGACUCAGCUUUCAGUUCCACAAAAGAGUGUGCCUCAUCCCAGGAUUGUCUAGGCAUCUUCAUAAGGCUCUAGAUAGAACAGCACUGAUUGAAGUCAGCAGAAGGUUAUUAGGCUGAACGGGGCCUCUGGUGUCAUACCAGGUUUUACAAAACUCAGUGUGUGGACCACAUGGUUAGAAUGACCUUCUCUUGGUUCUACUGACCUCCUUUGAGGGUGUUUGCCCACUCCUAAUUGAUGUUGCCCCCAUGCAUUGGGCUUUCAUGGAUAGUUGUAGAUCCAUGUUCUUUUUGAGAGAUUUGGACCCUAUUGAUGCUUGGGCCAUUAAAAAAAUUUCUUCUUCCCUGAAUUGGCUGUUUACUGUUUCUGCAGCAGCCUUAUAUGUAUCAAGAUGUAUUCUACGUCUUCAUGGGUAUAUGGGUUCUAGGGUUGUUAGUGGAACUUGGAAGUAGGAAUGGGAGAAAGGGGCAGCAAGAUCUUACUAUGCAGAAUGUAUUUCCAGUAACCUGCUCAGCCGCUCCUGAUGGAGAACACAUGUAUGAAGAACUUCGUCACAUCUAUGCAGGAGAGCAAGGUGGUACAGAUUGAUUGUGCACUGAUACAGAAAUAUUUGAUUGAAUUGAACAAGAAUGAUAAAUAUGAAUAGGAGAUGACCAGAAACCGCCAGACCCCAGCAAUAUCUGGUAGGAAUAAGCAGCUGUGUGAGCUUAACAAUAUCUGAUACCAUUUUCCAAUUUCAUACAUCUUUGCUUUCCCCUACAAUCUUUCUAAUUUACACUCCCAACGAGCCAACCAUGGCCUGUAAUGGAAUUGUUCAUUGCUCUGUCUAUGUACAAGUAUUCUGGGAAGUUAACCACUUUUCAGAAACUGAACUAUUGGCAAGUAUAUUUUGCUUCUCUUUUUGAAGCUGCAGUCCACAAAUGGUGACAGAUGAAUAACAUAUCAUAUUAUGGCAUGACUGUGUGAUAUGCUAUGUAGAGUUUUGAACAAGGUCUUGGUCCUGUGACAAAUGACAUUUUGUGGUCAUGUGACCUCCUAGGUAGGAAGCACCUUUGUGGGAUAAGAACCAAUUGCAAAUGUUGAAUUCAUCCUUGUCAUUGACUUUUAUCUUGGUGACAUAUGGACAUCUCCUUUCUUCCUGCAACCCAAUGAGGUCUCUUCCCAUUGCCCUGUUCUUGGUUUGCACUGGUAUAAGUCUGGGUCCCAGAUUGGCAGCCCACAUCACUGUGAGGCUUGCUGGAGAUUUUCCCUGCCCGCAGAGUUAACAACAAUGAUAUUAGCUAAAAGGUCCAGGUCGACUGUCCAAUAGAACUGAGGUGGUAGAAGGCAGCAUUCUGACAGCUGGCUAGCAUUUCCCCACCAAAUCAGUGUCUGAAAAACUGCCUUCCUCUCCCAGGUCUCAGAAAGUGCAAGACUGCUGGAAUUGGACACGGACCAGGAAGAGGACUCCUGAAGAAUAAGUUGCUUUCUCAGGAGUCCCCUGCUGACAAACAUCCUGACUAUUAACAACAUGUUUUGGAUGAAUAUUCUUCCUCAUAGUUAAUUUGUCAUUGCUUAGAGACCCUAAAUUUAUAUAUCACUAAGCCAGCCUGACUGAUUGAGGUCUUACUCACUUUCCUCUUUAGAAAUCACCACUUGAGAGACAACUUGGGGGACCGCCUUUCAUUAUGUAUGCUAGAGGAGAAAGAGCAAUACAUCUGUGCUUCUAAAUGUUUGUUAAGAAUAUGAUGUUUAGAAAUAUUUUGUUAUGAUUUUCAUUGAAGUUUUCUAUUUGUUGUUUCAUAGUUAUAUGCUCUUGUUAUUAUUUUUCAUUUUUAAAAUACUUUUAAAUAUUUAUAUUAAUUCAUUUUAAUCCUGUUUUGUUGUAAAUUGUAUUUCUUAUCAAUAAAAAUUGAUUUUAAUCUCUUGACUC
Molecule: non-coding RNA, 3966 nt
Organism: Rattus norvegicus (Norway rat)
Lineage: Eukaryota; Metazoa; Chordata; Mammalia; Rodentia; Muridae
Source: RefSeq, a predicted model, not a curated record